RNAcentral lists this long non-coding RNA (1357 nucleotides) under Anas platyrhynchos platyrhynchos (common mallard). Its description in RNAcentral is "lncRNA (ENSAPLG00000029708.1)". Lineage: Eukaryota; Metazoa; Chordata; Aves; Anseriformes; Anatidae. The record is from RNAcentral.
AUGAUAGCCGGGCACCGACUGUGCUGGCUGAGCUUCUGCUUGGAGGGGACUGGAGAGAAGGAGGGACUGUUGCUGCAGAGCUCCAGUGCUCUUUGUGCUGGGAAUCUCAGCUGUGGUAGUGCUGGGCCGGAACACAACUACCUGGAGGACGAGCAGCUGACAACAGUGGCUGGAUACCAACUGCUUCCUGGGGGAGAAAGGAAACAAGUUACAGUGGUUCUUCUCCUGCUGGUACUCUCAGCUCCUGCUGCGCACCUUCAGCAAGCACUGCUGUCAUCAGAAAUGCUGGGGCCAACGAGAAAGGCUGUGCAAGGAAACAGAAGCAUGCAAAAGGUAUGCUCCCUGUGCUCACCUUAAGCCAUAACACAAAGCCAAAGUCUUGUGCAGCGUAACGUGUUUGAAAAAACAGUGAUAUUGUGGCAUUUCACUCGUAAAUCUGUAAUAAUCCUUAAUAACAGAGUGACACAGCAGUGCCUGGCACUGUCUGGUGGAGCAGAUGCAUGGAACAGCCUCACCUUCAGAUUGCUGUUUAAGGAGGGUCUUUACUGAAUGAAAGGGGAAGGGGAGGGGGCUUCUCUUACAAAAACGGUACCACUCACUGAAGGAGAGGGUGGUUCUACCUUCUGUAUAUAAAUGUAACUCUUGGUGUCGGGAGGAUAUGAUAUCUUAGAUGGAAUUUUUUGUACCCUGUCCUGAAUGAAUGCUCUGAAUUCAGUUAUGUGCUCUGAAUUCAGUUAUGAAAUGACCUUAAAUCAACAUCACUGGCCUCUCUUUGAUCUGGGAAUGAGCUUGCCAAUGACAUUUGAGUUUGUGCUUUAAUCUUUAGGAUGUGCACACCAAAAUACAAUCUGUCUUUUUAGAAAAUCCUCAUUCAUAGCACGUAGGUGUGGCCCAAGCACUAGAGUCCCAUUUCUGUCUGCUUACAGGAUGUGUGUAAAGAGGGAGUGAUGGAGUUAAAAGUUAAGCUUGCAGCUGGCAGAGAUCCUACCUUUCUGGGUGUGGAUUUGGGGGUGUCACAAAAACACAGAUGCCUUCUUGCAAAAUCAUCUCUGCUGAUUGAAGCAGAGAGGCAGGAGGCAGGCGGAUUGAUUGUCAAAUAUGUUUUUUGCCCUGCAAAUGAAGAAAAUCCAUUCAUUUUUAACUAGCUGAAGAUCUGAUCCAUAUUUUUUGCUUUUAUCUGGCCUGAAGGACAUUACUAGUGCCAUAUUAGAAAGUAGUCAUUUAGGUUAUUAAAACAGGAAAACAAACACCCUCAUUUUUGAGACCAUAUUCUUUGUUGCCGCAGUAGAUUAUUCUCAUUGAUUAAAAGAUAAUGAGUCAUUUAAAUAAUGUUAAUGUGCUUGCCCUAAAAGCUGGC